RNAcentral lists this ribosomal RNA (668 nucleotides) under uncultured archaeon. Its description in RNAcentral is "bacterial SSU rRNA". It matches the Rfam family "Archaeal small subunit ribosomal RNA", at positions 325 to 997 of the family's 1478-position model. The record is from RNAcentral.
ACGGGGUGCAGCAGGCGCGAAAACUUUACAAUGCGGGAAACCGUGAUAAGGGAACUCCGAGUGUCCGUAAAUGCGGACUGUCCGUAUGUCUAAAAAGCAUGCGAAGAAAGGGCCGGGCAAGACCGGUGCCAGCCGCCGCGGUAACACCGGCGGCUCGAGUGGUAACCGUUAUUAUUGGGUCUAAAGGGUCUGUAGCCGGCCGGAUAAGUCUCUUGGGAAAUCCAGCAGCUCAACUGUUGGGCUUUCAGGAGAUACUAUCUGGCUCGAGGCCGGGAGAGGUGAGAGGUACUUCAGGGGUAGGGGUGAAAUCUUGUAAUCCUUGAAGGACCACCAGUGGCGAAGGCGUCUCACCAGAACGGACCUGACGGCAAGGGACGAAAGCUAGGGGCACGAACCGGAUUAGAUACCCGGGUAGUCCUAGCCGUAAACGAUACUCGCUAGGUGUCGGCCACGGUGCGACCGUUGUCGGUGCCGUAGGGAAGCCGUGAAGCGAGCCACCUGGGAAGUACGGCCGCAAGGCUGAAACUUAAAGGAAUUGGCGGGGGAGCACCACAACGGGUGGAGCUUGCGGUUUAAUUGGAUUCAACGCCGGAAAUCUUACCGGGACCGACAGCAAUAUGAAGGCCAGGCUGAAGACUUUGCCGGAUUAGCUGAGAGGUGGUGCAUGG